Molecule: ribosomal RNA, 200 nt
Filed under: uncultured bacterium
Lineage: Bacteria
Description: partial 16S ribosomal RNA
Rfam family: Bacterial small subunit ribosomal RNA
Source: RNAcentral
AUUGAACGCUGGCGGCAGGCCUAACACAUGCAAGUCGAGCGGUUGAGGUAGCUUGCUACCGACGCAGCGGCGGACGGGUGAGUAAUACAUGGGAAUCUGCCUGGUAGUGGGGGACAACGUUUCGAAAGGAACGCUAAUACCGCAUACGCCCUACGGGGGAAAGGGGGGAGUCGCAAGACCUCUCGCUAUCAGAUGAGCCC